GGUAAUCGUCGCGGCCACGCCGUUAAA
Molecule: ribosomal RNA, 27 nt
Filed under: Fusarium sp. 2 RS-2015
Lineage: Eukaryota; Fungi; Ascomycota; Sordariomycetes; Hypocreales; Nectriaceae
Description: partial 28S ribosomal RNA
Source: RNAcentral